This 206-nucleotide long non-coding RNA is filed under the name Gossypium raimondii (Peruvian cotton). Its description in RNAcentral is "long non-coding RNA (GRAI_LNC000130)". The record is from RNAcentral. Lineage: Eukaryota; Viridiplantae; Streptophyta; Magnoliopsida; Malvales; Malvaceae.
UCUAAUCCAAUCAUGGUUGUGGUCCAUAGCCUUAAGUACAGAAGCAAGGCAAGAUAUGGUGCUGAAUCAACUCUAUCAUGUGUCGUAAGAAGAAUCACAAGAAUGGACAACAGGACAUGGGACAGUGGGGUCCCUCAAAUUCAACAAUUGUGAACUCCAGAAUUUAGAAUUGGUUGGAUGGGUAGAGACUGUAAAAGUAUAAUGGA